Long non-coding RNA from Glycine soja, 439 nucleotides. RefSeq lists it as uncharacterized. The transcript is spliced from 2 exons. The record is from RefSeq and is a predicted model, not a curated record. Lineage: Eukaryota; Viridiplantae; Streptophyta; Magnoliopsida; Fabales; Fabaceae.
CAAAAAAAAAUUUACACUCUUUCUCUUUCUGGCGUCACUUGCCCUAAAUCACCACCACAUAGCUCGAGCCACCUAGAACCACCACACCAUCAACAUGCCACCCAAAAACACCACCACCAACCAAAUCACCAACCAGUGCGCCACCCAUCUGCCUCAUCAGCUCCGACGUCGUUUACCUGAAGGGAUUUCUCAAUCUAUGGGUAAAUUACACAACUUAUGGCAUUCUCAGGAUUAAUAAGAGCUAGGAAGGUGUUGAGCAAUGUUCUCUUGUUAUUAUUCCCAAUAUUUGAUAUUGGAUUAUUCAUAGCAUAAUUAAACCCUACCUAUUCAUUGUUGUUUAGUUAUUUGUCGGCAUGAGUUACUACCUAGAUCAAGGUUCUGAUGGACGGAAGAAUUAAAAAAAAUUAUAUUAAUUGUAGAAUUUUCUCAAUUCUAGUCA